Molecule: long non-coding RNA, 600 nt
Filed under: Populus trichocarpa (black cottonwood)
Lineage: Eukaryota; Viridiplantae; Streptophyta; Magnoliopsida; Malpighiales; Salicaceae
Description: long non-coding RNA (PTRI_LNC002124)
Source: RNAcentral
CGCGUAUGAACAAGAGUUUAUAAGCUUAUCCUGACGUGGAACAGGGGUCUCUUUCUCUCGUUACCUGUGUGGCUUCACGGAGAGGGACGAAGAACAGAAAGCCUCGAGGUGAGAUGAGAAGCUACACUAAAUGGACACAGAACCAAAGUUUCCGCAGAUAAAAAGGACUAGAUUGAGUUCAGCAGCAGAACAGAACUUACUUGCACACUGUUCUGCAACCUCCUAGGAACGGUCCUGUUUCUCUUCCACCCCUCUCACAACAAUCAGAUAGCUUACAUCCUUGGAAAAACAUGAUCAUAAGUUCCUCCCAUCAAAUCAAGGAUGUUCCAGUAUGCUGUGGCAAUCCUCCAAUGAACCCAGUUCUCACUAUAAGCUAACUACAACCACAUGAGCAAAGAAGAGAAACUGUCGAGGAUAAAUCAUCUACAGGACAGGCAGCUUUAGUCGUACAAUACCAAAUUUUAUUAACUGAAGCACUGAGAAGUCACAAUAUCCAGUAGCAAGACUGAGCAAUAAAAAAUGCUCGAGGAAAAACGAAAGCAAUUCACAGCUGACACCACGGAAACACAGAGAGGAACCGUGGACAUAAGCUAACAUUUU